ACGGGGGGUGCAAGCGUUGUUCGGAAUUAUUGGGCGUAAAGCGCGUGUAGGCGGCUGAAUAAGUCAGAUGUGAAAUCCCUGGGCUUAACCUAGGAAGUGCAUUUGUGACUAUAUAGCUAGAGUACGGCAGAGGGGGAUGGAAUUCCGGGUGUAGCAGUGAAAUGCGUAGAUAUGCGGAGGAACACCGAUGGCGAAGGCAAUCCCCUGGGCCUGUACUGACGUUCAUGCACGAAAGCGUGGGGAGCAAACAG
RNAcentral lists this ribosomal RNA (251 nucleotides) under uncultured prokaryote. RNAcentral describes it as "partial 16S rRNA". It matches the Rfam family "Bacterial small subunit ribosomal RNA", at positions 525 to 775 of the family's 1533-position model. The record is from RNAcentral.